RNAcentral lists this ribosomal RNA (245 nucleotides) under uncultured bacterium. RNAcentral describes it as "partial 16S ribosomal RNA". It matches the Rfam family "Bacterial small subunit ribosomal RNA", at positions 90 to 334 of the family's 1533-position model. The record is from RNAcentral.
AUAGAGUGGCGUACGGGAGAGUAACACGUAAGUAAUCUACCCUUGGGUGGGGAAUAACUUAGGGAAACCUAAGCUAAUACCGCAUAAUGCAGCGGCUCCAAAUGGAGACAGUUGUUAAAGCUUUAGUGCCUAAGGAGGAGCUUGCGGCAGAUUAGCUAGUUGGUAAGGUAACGGCUUACCAAGGCGACGAUCUGUAGCCGGUCUAAGAGGACGGUCGGUCUCACUGACACUGAAUAACGGGUCAG